This 217-nucleotide long non-coding RNA is filed under the name Gallus gallus (chicken). Lineage: Eukaryota; Metazoa; Chordata; Aves; Galliformes; Phasianidae. The record is from RNAcentral.
CGCCACUCCAUUUCAUUUCGGUUUUCUCCACUCCACGUCAUCUGAUGGUCUUCCACUUUACUCCAUCCCAUUUCCCACCCCUCCACUCCUUUUAAUUCCCCUCUUUAACACACAAUUUAUUUUCCUCCACUCUGCUUCAUUUCAUUGACCUCUAUUCAGUUUAUUUCAUUUCCCACCACGCCACUCCAUUUCUUUUCCCACCGCUACAUGCAGUUUU